GACGUAGGGGGCCAGCGUUGUUCGGAAUUACUGGGUGUAAAGGGCACGUAGGCGGUGAAUCGGGUUGAAAGUGAAAGUCGCCAAAAAGUGGCGGAAUGCUCUCGAAACCAAUUCACUUGAGUGAGACAGAGGAGAGUGGAAUUUCGUGUGUAGGGGUGAAAUCCGUAAAUAUACGAAGGAACGCCAAAAGCGAAGGCAGCUCUCUGGGUCCCUACCGACGCUGGGGUGCGAAAGCAUGGGGAGCGAACAGG
RNAcentral lists this ribosomal RNA (251 nucleotides) under uncultured bacterium. Its description in RNAcentral is "partial 16S ribosomal RNA". It matches the Rfam family "Bacterial small subunit ribosomal RNA", at positions 524 to 776 of the family's 1533-position model. The record is from RNAcentral.